Molecule: long non-coding RNA, 6755 nt
Filed under: Sus scrofa (pig)
Lineage: Eukaryota; Metazoa; Chordata; Mammalia; Artiodactyla; Suidae
Description: lncRNA (ENSSSCG00005041861.1)
Source: RNAcentral
CAGUGUAGCAGAGACAAGGGCCAGGUCCUCCCCUUGAGCCUCAGAGGGAACAUCACCCUGGCAAUACCCUGACUUUAGCCCAGUGAUACCGACUUCAGAAUUCCGGCCUCCAGUACUGUGAGAGAAUACAUUUCUGUUAUUCUUAAGCUACCAAGUUGGUGGUGAUUUUUAUAGCAGCCACACGAAACUGAUAUAAUACCCCUUUCCUGUCAUCCUUUCCCCCUCCCCUGCCCCUUUGGAGUGGAGCUCCCUGUUUGCAGGAAUAAUGGGGCUGCUGGUGGCAAUGGGAGAGUAAGACUCCCUGAGGCCAUAAAAAGGAAAGUUGGCUCUCUGGAACUUUACAAUCUAAGGUGCAACUUCGAGCUUAACUUCUUCUGUAGAGGCAAGUUUUAUAGGCAGCAUUUACCACUAUCUUGGAAAAACUUUUUUGUUCCGUAUUUAACCCAGUACCCUCCAAUCCUAGGCUCACUGUUUCUUUACGGGACAAAUAGAGUAACUCAGGCGCUUGACUUGCAUUAGUGCAGGGCUGGGUGCCCACUGGCAUUUUAGGACUGGUUCCUUAUCUCCUCCCGCUCUGACAGUCAGCCCAGAUGGCUCUGUUCAUCUUCUUUGCUAGUGUCUCCUUCUGCAGGCUGCUGUCAUCUCUUGUGCUUCUAGGUAAAAACACAAUCCUUCCUUUGUUUCCAUGGCAUUUGGGAGAGAAUGAGGUGAGGGUCCGUCCUUCUUGAUGGUGUUCCUGCCCACAGCUUGGACCUUGGGUUAGUGCUAGGGCUGCCAUGACGGAGCACCACAGACGGGGUGAUUCUGACAACAGAGAUUUACUUUCUCUUAAGUCUGGAAGCUAGAAGCCUGGGAUAAAGGUGUCAGCAGGGUUGGUUUCCUCAGAGGCAUCUCUCCUUGGCUUGUAAUUGGCAUCCUCUCCCUGGGUUUUCACAUCAUCUUCCCCCUUUAUCUAUGUCUUAUUUUCUUUUUCACCAGUCAUGUUGGAUUAGGGUUCCCCCUACUGACCUUGUUUUCACUCAGUUACCUCCCUAAAGACCGUAUCUCCAGAUACAGUCACAUUCUGGGGUACUGGGAAUUAGGGCUUAAACGUGUACUUUCGGGGAGACAUUAUUCAGUCCAUGACGUAGCUUAACUUCCUGUACUGAGGUAAUUCUUAUGGAUGGUUUAGCAUAGUUAGUGCUGGACACAGUAAACACUGCUGCUCAAUUAUAGCACAGUUACUUCUGUUCUCUUAUAUGCUACAAUCUGUCAUAUUUAUAUACACAUAAUGUUUCUGUUACACAUGUAUAAAUAUAAAUAUACACACAUUUCUAUGAUACCAUCGUUGGUAAAAUUUUCAUGAUUUCAUUUAAGUAAUAUUGCUGAGUGGGUUGUUUUGCAUUUCUCAGAAUCCUUGGGGAAAGUUAAAAGAUAGGGCCAACUUUUAAUUUUCAUUCAUUCAUUCAACAAACAUUUAUUGAGUGUGCCGUCUUGGCCUUUGGAUUAUAAUGUCAACGAAGAUUGUGAAGUUACAAUUCAGGUUCAAUUUCAUGGGAAGGCAAGUACAGUGGACCCGUGGAGGCUGUAGGAAGGAGCUGGUGAUGGAAGAAGUGUGUCCGCAAAUUCUUUGCCAUUGCUCCCACCCACUGAGAGUUGUCUUUGUCUACUUCCCUUGAAUCUGGCCUGCUUUUGAGAUUGUGUUGGCCAGCAGAAUAUGGAAAAAAUGAUGCUCCACCCAAGCUUUAAAGAAGUAGCCCCAUCCUCUCCAGGGAUGCCUGCUCUAGGGGAAGCUGGCUGCCAUGUGAUGUGUCGAUUGUCCUGAGACUGCCAUGCUGUGAGGAAGCCCAGGCCAGCUGGGUCGAGAGGCUGUGGGAACGAAAGAGGUCCAGUGAGCUCUAGUUAUUUAGGUAGUCCAACCGGAUGCCAACAGCUGAGUGAAGAAGCCAUCUCAGAUAGGUCAACCCCAGCUUGUAUAGUAUAGAGAAGAACCCAGGAAUUCCAUUGGAAUUCGGAACCCAAUCCUGAGACAUGUGGCCCCAGCCAAGCUGCCCUGGUCAUCUCCAGUUAGUCAGGCCAUCCUAUAGCCAUUACAGCUCCAGUGUGCACCAAGUCCUAACUUGUAAAAUGGUGAGUUUUAUAAAAAGGUGCCUAUUUUACUACUUAGAUUUGGGGUAGUGUGUUAUAUAGCAAUAGGUAAAUUGGAAUAGGACCCUAAACUAGAUUUGGAAGAUAAUUAAGAAAUCCUGUAUAUCACAAGUCCAGCAUUGUACUAUAAAGCACAGAACACAUGUAGACACAGAAUUCUUAGACAGUACACAUCUGCAGAAUCCAUUCUCUCCUGUGUGAAGGCUGGGGGUGAAUGCAUCUUCAGGCUGCAGGUCUUAGAGUCCUUACUCUGUUGAUGAACUCCAUGGAAAGUGCUGAUUUUGAUCCUUGUAUCAAAGUGCUACCUGUAUGGGGCUCACUGGUCUCCUGGGGGCUGGGACUGCAGUUUGCUACAGUGGCCCCUCCCGCGGCUCGACGGGUCAUUACCGCAGGAUGCUUAUUUGGCCUUUCCUUCACCUGUGGUUCCGUGCUGUGGAAUGCUACCCAAUUUUGCUACCUAAUCUGCUUUGCUAGAGGUCCUGCCCUUCUCUCUUCUUGCUAAUUAUUUUUUUCUAUCCAAAGUUAUUUUUUGCAUUAUUGGGUCCAAAGAUCCCUUGCUCUUUCAUGUUGCAGAAAAGCGGCAUGGUAGAGAGAGAUUCAGGGCAGGCCUGGAGUUAGGCUGCCUGAGUCUGAUUCUGCCUCUUACAGCAUGACCUUGAAGUUUCUGUGCUUCUGUUUCUUCAACUACAAAGGGAGGGAAAGGGUAGCCCUGCCUCACAGGGUUGGCAUGAGGGUAAAAGAGGUCAUUCAUGUAAAAUGCUCAGAGCUGUUCUGCAUGUAGCAGGCGUCCAAUAAAUGUCGGCCUAUUUUAUUCAUAAUAUGCAUUUUGUACUAUGGUACUCGGCUGCCUAUUUGUGGGUCUGCUCUCUAGGUGCUAAGUUCCUUGAGGACAGAGAGUGUCCUGAGCCCUGUCACUUCCGUGAUGUGCUGCACAAGGUGUGACAGGUGUUAGGCCUUCAGUAACUGCUUCUUGAAUGAGUGAAUGCCCCAGAAACAGUAGAGAGACAGUGUUCUAUCAGUGGAAGGUCAGUGAUAUCGUCAUUGGAGAAAGGUUCCAAAGGUGGACAGCAGUUUGAUUUUGUAGAACAUACUUGAUCUUACAGAAUCAAAGAGACAAAAAGUUCACUGGGCUGGUACGUGGGAAACAACUGUGCAUGUGUGAAUGGUUUGCACAUCUGGUUUCCUGUUAUUGCUGUGUGCUCACGGUACUUGAACUUGUGAAAUAGUAAACAGUCGGGUGCCUGAAGAAGUUGGGAUGUAGGGAUCUUGGCCCUGAAGCACUGUGAUUAUUCCUGGAGAGGCUGCAUAUAUGAAUGGAUAACUAUUUCUACAUGGGAUCCACCUUGUUUAAGAAAGAAUUUAAAGCGGCAUACAGAGAGCCCUGUAAUGAUUCAGUAAGAUAAAAUAAAGCGAGGUGAGGGGAUUGAGUCCUAAGAAAAAUGAAGGUUAAAAGCUAGAUGAAGCUGGGAGUAAUGUUUGUGUCCAAAAUGCUUGCUCGACUGUCCUGUACAUUUUCUAGAGGUGGGUACAGAUUUGGAGCUGCACUUUCUACCGGUUUUUAUGUGAAAACCAUAAAACAACCAAUUACAUGAGUCACGCUCUGGAAUAAUAACGCUAACAGCUAGCAUUUAUCAAGUACUUCCUUGGUACCAGCUGUGUCUCUUAGGUGCUUUGCAUGUAUUAACUCUUAAGAAAAAUUUUUUUUUAUUAAAGUACAGUUGAUUUACAAUGUUGUGUUGAUUUCUGCUGUACAGCAAAGUGAUUAAGGUAUCUAUCUAUAUCUAUCUACUUUCUUUUUCAAAAUAUUCUUUUCCCUUAUGGCUUAUCUUAGGACAAUGUAUAUGGUGCUCUGCGCUAUAGCACGGGACCUUGCUGUUUGUCUCCUCUGUGUAUAAUAGCUUCCAUCUGCCAAUUCCAACCUUCCAUCCAUUCCUCUCCCAACUCCUUCCCCUUGGCAGUCACAAGUCUGUCUGUCUUGUCCAUGAGUCUGUUUCUGUUUUGUAGAUGAGUUCAUUUGUGUUAUAUUUUAGAUUCCACAUAUAAGUGAUACAUACUAUUUUUCUUUCUCCUUCUGACUUAACUUCACUUAGCGCCUUCUCUAUGCCAGGUACUCAGGGCUGAAUUGUAGCAGCGAUCAGCGUCACGGAGAUGGUACUUACAGAGCUGGCAUAGCGACAACAGGCAUCUUUUUACAAUUUUAGUAUAGAUCAAGUUGCUUUUUGUAAAAAUUAUUUUAUUGAAGUAUAAUUGAUUUACAGUGUUGUGUUAAUUUCUGCCAUAUAGCAAAGUGAUCCAGUCAAUUGUCGGGGAACCUCAAGCCUUCUUUUCUGCAUCCGCUGCAGAGCCACCUCCAUCCUUGUCUUCUCAAACCUCUAGCCCCAGGGAACUCAGUAGAGUCACACCCAGCCCCACACACGGUACUUCACACAUGACAUCUCCCGUUCUUGAAGCAGGCGUAGAACAUUGUGAGCUUUAGACUCCAUUCAUCUCAGGAAAACUAUUUUCCAAGCCAAGAGGUCUCUGAGCAGUAAUACUUAGGCUUUUGGAGCUUAUUCUGCCUGUUUCUUAUAUGGGCACCUUGGAAAGCAGGAAUUUGGAGGUGGCCUUGGUGAAGACUAUGGAAAAAGCAGCCAUACACUCAUGCAACUCUUUUCUCUGUGCUCAGAGGAGAUGCAAAGGGGGACUGUGUGAACAUCGUAGGCGGUUUUGAGAGGCUCAGAAUUAGUCAAUUCCUAUCGUGGUAUUUUGCUUUUCAGCUCAACAGGAUGAUUUCUUGUUGAGGCUUUUUACUCUGGUGAGUUUACUUUGGAUUCAGAGUUUGCUUACAAGGGACCAGGGCAAUGGCUUGUCAAGUAAAGGAUUCCUCUGAAUCUUUAUCUUUGGUUUAAACUUCCCUUCGGAGCUCUGGACCUUUAGACCAGUCCGCCUACCAUAGAUCACGCCAACUAUCCCACAGCUAUUUCAAACUGCACUUGCCCAAAAUAGAAUUUAUUUUCUGGCCCCAGAAGUGAGUUCUUCUUUCUGUAGAUCCUGUCAGAAUCCAAGGCAUCACUCUCCAUGCCAUCAGCUCCUAGAGCAGAAGUAUAGCCAUCACCCUCCAAGCUUUCCUAAUAUUGACGGUAACAGAUAAAGUUUAUUGAUAGCUUCCUGUUGCCAGGGACUGUGCGAAGUGUUUUGUGUGCAUUAACUCCCUUAGUCAUCACUGCUGCCUAUGACUGAGAUGAUGUUGGUACCUCUGUUUCACCCAAGAGAUGACUGCAGAAGUGUCCUAAUGUGCCUCUCAGCUGCCAGUCCCUGUCCAGCCUCCUUACCCUUUGGCAGCCUGACUCAUCUUCUAAACAUGCAGAUCUGAAUGUGUGGUUUGCUUCCUGAACAAGCUUCACUGGCUCUCUGUUGCCCUCAGAAUCAGCUCAAACCCUUAGUCAGGAUCCCAGGGCCCUUCAUGUCCUGGCCACUGAGCACCCAGCUGUUUCUAGCUGCUCCUGCUGCCUUCUUCACCCAUGUACUAGCCAUGCUGGAGACUUGCAGACUCUUGAAAUAUGUAUGGUUUCCCUAGGCUCAUUUGAUUCAUGCUACAAAUACUUUUGGGGAGCCCUCCUUGUUCCAGGCCUCUUCUGGGUACCGGUGAUGGAGCUGUGAGCAAAACCGAUUGGACCCCUGCCCUCGUGGUUGGACAGUACUCAGGCACAUAGCUAAACAAGCGUGUAAUGUCAUAAUCCUGAGUGCUGUGUGGGCACAGUGAGUGAUAGCAGGGUUCUGUUUUAUGUAGGAUUGUCAGACAAGGCACUUUGCAAAGGCCCUGAGAGGGAGCCUGCCUGGUGUUUGAGGAGCAUCAAGGAGGUCAUUGUGGCUGAAAGGGUGAAUGUGGAAGGAAGGGAGAUCUCUGAUGCGGCCUGGAUCCCUCUUGUAGGUCCCUGGACCGUGGUGAGGACUUUGGAGUUUAUUCCAGUUGUGAGAGGCUGUUGGAAGUUUGAGGUCAGGGAGUGAUGGCAUCUGAUUGGCAUUUUAAGGGUCUCAGUGACAGUUGUGUGACUGCUGGACAGCCCAUCAUGAGGCCAGAGUGGAAGCAGGGAGAACGAGGAGGCUUUUUUUUUUUUUUUUUUCUUUUUUAAUGGGUCUCUAUACUUUUAUUUCAGUUUCCGUUUUAAAAAUAAUUCCAUGAAUUUUAUUAUGUGUGUAGUAGUACAGCCAUCAUCACAACAUAAUUUUAGAACAUUUCCAUUCCAAACCCUCAGUCCACCCCUCUCUCCCCCCAACCUGUCCUCUUUGGUAACCAUAAGUUUUUUCAGUCUGUGAGUCUGUUUCUAUUCUGCAAAUAAGUUCAUUUGUAUCUUUUUCUUUUAGAUCUCACAUAUAAGUGACAUCAUAAGAUAUGUUACAAUGGAAUAUUACUCACUCAUAAAAAGAAUGUAAUAAUGGCAUUUGCAGCAGCAUGGACGGACCUAGAAAUUAUCAUGCUAAGUGAUGUUAGACAGAGACAAAUAUCAUGUGGUAUCACUUAUAUGUAGGAGGUUCUUGUGUUAUCUCGUUCCUGUUCAGGAAUAUUCAGUCCUCGACCCUUUGUUGGUGACAGAGUGUCUGGAGACAAACUAUCCAGCUUUGUACACCUGUUUCAAGGGCAUCCCUAU